Molecule: non-coding RNA, 482 nt
Organism: Myodes glareolus (Bank vole)
Lineage: Eukaryota; Metazoa; Chordata; Mammalia; Rodentia; Cricetidae
Source: RefSeq, a predicted model, not a curated record
UCCUUCCCAGACAUUCCCAUUUCUAUGCUUGGGGCUCGGUGGCAGAGCGUUUGCUUAGCAUUCCCAAGGUCCCCCGUUUGAGCCCCAGGACUGGGUGUCAGGGAGAUCACACAAUCACAAGCUACAAGCCCUUCCUAGAUAGUCCUCACUACACUGUGAUCCAGUUCGUACUCUCCAGUGUUCAACGGAGAGGAAUGGACUUUUGGAAGCUCCUAAGCCAAUUGGAACCUGGUCCGGCCUGAGAUACCAGACCUGCCAGGGAGCAAGAUAUGGAUAGACGUUCACUCUGGAUCGCUCUGGAUCAAUCUGGAUCAAUCUGGAUCACUCUGGAUCUGAAGCUUCUCAGGUUCUGGAGUGUGACCUUAGCCCGUGUCCAACAAGACAGUCCAGGUCCUCUCUAGGGUCCAGCGUCAAGUUCCUUCAUCAAGCUGUUGGAGCUGGUCCUAAUGUCUCCAUUCCCAAGUAAGAACACUCUCCACUUU